GUGUCGCCCUCUAGGUGUAAUCGACUCUCACUUGGUGAUGCACCAGCUAACCUGUAACGGUGUACUGGAAGGUAUCCGAAUCUGCAGAAAAGGUUUCCCUAACAGAAUGAUUUAUCCUGACUUCAAACACAGGUACACUAUCUUGGCUCCAAACGCAGUACCCAAAGGGGCA
Long non-coding RNA from Limulus polyphemus (Atlantic horseshoe crab), 172 nucleotides. RefSeq lists it as uncharacterized. Lineage: Eukaryota; Metazoa; Arthropoda; Merostomata; Xiphosura; Limulidae. The record is from RefSeq and is a predicted model, not a curated record. The transcript is spliced from 2 exons.